RNAcentral lists this transfer RNA (60 nucleotides) under Triticum aestivum (bread wheat). It matches the Rfam family "tRNA", at positions 7 to 64 of the family's 71-position model. Rfam says of the family: Transfer RNA (tRNA) molecules are approximately 80 nucleotides in length. Their secondary structure includes four short double-helical elements and three loops (D, anti-codon, and T loops). Lineage: Eukaryota; Viridiplantae; Streptophyta; Magnoliopsida; Poales; Poaceae. The record is from Rfam by way of RNAcentral.
AUAGUUCACUUGGGAGAGCGUCAGACUGAAGAUCUGAAGGUCGCGUGUUCGAUCCACAUU